AUGUUCUGGCUUGUCCACAGAGACUUGAAACCACAUAAUGUCCUCUUGGAUCGUAACAUGAUCCCAAAGAUUGCUGAUUUUGGAUCAGCUAGAGCACUGAGUUCAGAUGUAGCAGAAGAGCUAACUAAUAUAUCAAUCAUCACAGGUUCCCACCAUUUUGCUUUCAGAUGUUCUAAUCUUACAGUUUUGAUAUCUUCUGUUUCACUUUUCAGUGGUUACAAAGCUCUGGAGUAUGCAUCUCGAGGAGUUUACUCGAUGAAGACAGAUGUGUUCAGCUUCGGUGUUUUGGUUCUGGUGAUUAUUAGUGGCCGAAAGAAUACCAUACUCGACAAGCGAGGGGAUACUGUUGGUGAUCUUGUACGAGAUGCCUGGCGCAUGUGGAAGGACCAAAGGUUGCAUGAGCUUGUGUAUCCGUUGUUAGGGGACGGAUAUGAAGUCGUUGAAGGAGAUGCGCUCAAGUGGACUGCUUUGUACCCAGGAAGAUCCAGCAGAUCGGCCCACCAUGACAGAUGUGGCUGCAAUGCUGAACUCUGA
This 534-nucleotide ribosomal RNA is filed under the name Triticum aestivum (bread wheat). RNAcentral's name for it is "partial small subunit ribosomal RNA". Lineage: Eukaryota; Viridiplantae; Streptophyta; Magnoliopsida; Poales; Poaceae. The record is from RNAcentral.